Non-coding RNA from Misgurnus anguillicaudatus (oriental weatherfish), 797 nucleotides. The record is from RefSeq and is a predicted model, not a curated record. NCBI's taxonomy places the organism in Eukaryota, Metazoa, Chordata, Actinopteri, Cypriniformes, Cobitidae.
ACUCUAAAAAUGGCUGGGUUAUUUUUUAACCCAAAAUGCUGGGUUGAGUCUGUUGGGUUGUUUUGCUGGGUUAUUUUUUUACAUUUUAAACACUUUUUGGGUAGUUUCAGUUUUCUAGGUGUUGGGUUAAAACUGCUGGGUUAUUAUGUUGGGUUGUUUGAAGAGGCUCACGUGCUUCGCGCCCUUGAUGUUUGAAUGUGCUCAGCAAUGGUCGUCGUGAAAGGACAGAGUCACUGAAGCAGUUGUUUCAAGAGUGUGCAGAGUUUUUAUGUCCAUCCAUUGAUGAGGCUAGCAAGACCUUCAAACAACUUCAGCCAAUUGCAACAAAUGUGGUGGAAUUUCUUCUCUGGACAGAAUCCUCGAAACCCUUUCCUUUCGUCCUGGCCAUGGGAAACAUGCAGCAGAUCUCUCAAUCUUUUUUCUCAAUCAGUCUCUCUGAAUACGGAAGUGACUUAAACUGCAAUUCGGCCAAGAUGGCGACGGCACGCACCGCCUACUUUAAGCUUCAAAAAUGCUCUUCACAAACCAAUGGGUGACGUCACAGACACUACUUGCAUAUUUUUUACAGUCUCUGGUUUAAAGGCAUUUUAAGUGCUUAAAAAAAUAAAUACCCCAGGCAAUGUGCUUCUAUGGGAAUUCCUGUAGUCUGUCAUUUUUCAAAUGGAUGAAUCCCCUGCUGUUCGAUUCCUUUGUACAUCUUUGUUCGCGACGAGUAACUUUAAUAAAUGAAGUAUUUUUAGUCAAAUACAUUCCAUUCUGUGAAACUUAAAACAUUUGUUCUUUAAAAAAACUUUACA